Molecule: ribosomal RNA, 460 nt
Filed under: uncultured bacterium
Lineage: Bacteria
Description: partial 16S ribosomal RNA
Rfam family: Bacterial small subunit ribosomal RNA
Source: RNAcentral
CCUACGGGUGGCAGCAGUGAGGAAUAUUGGUCAAUGGACGCAAGUCUGAACCAGCCAUGCCGCGUGCAGGAAGACGGCUCUAUGAGUUGUAAACUGCUUUUGUACGAGGGUAAACGCAGAUACGCGUAUCUGUCUGAAAGUAUCGUACGAAUAAGGAUCGGCUAACUCCGUGCCAGCAGACGCGGUAAUACGGAGGAUUCAAGUGUUAUCCGGAUUUUUUGGGUUUAAAGGGUGCGUAGGCGGUCGGAUAAGUUAGAGGUGAAAUACCGAGGCUCAACUUCGGAAUUGACUCUGAUACUGUUCGGCUAGAGAGUAGUAGCGGUAGGCGGAAUGUAUGGUGUAGCGGUGAAAUGCUUAGAGAUCAUACAGAACACCGAUUGCGAAGGCAGCUUACCAAGCUACUUCUGACGUUGAGGCACGAAAGCGUGGGGAGCAAACAGGAUUAGAUACCCUUGUAGUC